RNAcentral lists this ribosomal RNA (405 nucleotides) under uncultured bacterium. RNAcentral's name for it is "partial 16S ribosomal RNA". It matches the Rfam family "Bacterial small subunit ribosomal RNA", at positions 28 to 526 of the family's 1533-position model. The record is from RNAcentral.
GAUGAACGCUGGCGGCGUGCCUAAUACAUGCAAGUCGAGCGAAGCGGGGACGGGUGAGUAACACGUAUAUAACCUCCUAUAAGACUGGGAUAACUUCGGGAAACCGGAGCUAAACCCGAUUCUUACCGCUGGUUCCGUUCUGCAUUAGCUAGUUGGUAAGGUAACGGCUUACCAAGGCAACGAUGCAUAGCCGACCUGAGAGGGUGAUCGGCCACACUGGAACUGAGACACGGUCCAGACUCCUACGGGAGGCAGCAGUAGGGAAUCUUCCGCAAUGGGCGAAAGCCUGACGGAGCAACGCCGCGUGAAUGAUGAAGGUCUUCGGAUCGUAAAACUCUGUUAUUAGGGAAGCGGUACCUAAUCAAAAAGCCACGGCUAACUACGUGCCAGCAGCCGCGGUAAUUC